Molecule: unclassified non-coding RNA, 237 nt
Filed under: plant metagenome
Description: partial contains small subunit ribosomal RNA, internal transcribed spacer 1, and 5.8S ribosomal RNA
Source: RNAcentral
UUUCCGUAGGUGAACCUGCGGAAGGAUCAUUACUGAAGUGAGUCUUCAUCAUUGAAGCUUCUUCCCAUUGUGCUGGCUUUGACCGUAUGUAAUGUUGGGGAUUAAACUGGUUGAAAUCUAUUUUAGCCGUCCCCAACAAUUUAUCUUAUCCUUUAUUAAAUUGAACUGAACUCAUUUUGAGAUUACAUAAAAAAUAAUCUUUUAAUACAACUUUCAACAACGGAUCUCUUGGUUCUC